RNAcentral lists this long non-coding RNA (490 nucleotides) under Capsicum annuum. RNAcentral describes it as "long non-coding RNA (CANN_LNC011505)". The record is from RNAcentral. Lineage: Eukaryota; Viridiplantae; Streptophyta; Magnoliopsida; Solanales; Solanaceae.
UUCAAGGGAUGGGAGGUACUUAAGAUGUUCACACAAUAUUAUUUGGCAUUUCCAAGCUUGCGACAUUCCUUGAUAAAAGAUUAAUGAUAGUUGCAUAGUAAGACACCGCUUCCACAACUUGAGCAAAUGGGUUCAUAAUUAUUGAAUCCUAUACAAAUGGGAAGAGAACAAUAAUAUCUCCUCUCCUAUUUGAAUUUUCCCUAAAGGUAUUUACAAAGGGUUCUCUCAACUAGGAACAUGAUGGAAAGAAAUUUGAAGGAGGUAAUUUAGGGGAGAUUAAAUGAGUUGGAGAUACCUGAUAGCAUUGUUUUAGAGUUUUGUUGCCCUUAUUAUCCCUAUUGGAACAAGGUGGUAUAGGUACAUUAGAUUUGACUACCAUGAAAAACUUCCAAUCCUCCACUAAUAAGAUCAGUAUUAUACCUAUCCCUUGCAUGUUCCACUUCAUCCAUAAUAUUUAAAAGAUAUUUUGAGGAGGUGUUGGUGAUGCAAG